UACGUAGGGGGCAAGCGUUGUCCGGAAUCAUUGGGCGUAAAGAGCGUGUAGGCGGCCAGAUAAGUCCGCUGUGAAAACUCGAGGCUCAACUUCGAGCUGUCGGUGGAAACUUUCUGGCUAGAGUCCGGAAGAGGAGAAUGGAAUUCCUGGUGUAGCGGUGGAAUGCGCAGAUAUCAGGAAGAACACCCGUGGCGAAGGCGGUUCUCUGGGACGGUACUGACGCUGAGACGCGAAAGCGUGGGGAGCGAACAGG
This 253-nucleotide ribosomal RNA is filed under the name uncultured bacterium. RNAcentral's name for it is "partial 16S ribosomal RNA". It matches the Rfam family "Bacterial small subunit ribosomal RNA", at positions 524 to 776 of the family's 1533-position model. The record is from RNAcentral.